UACGAAGGGGGCUAGCGUUGCUCGGAAUCACUGGGCGUAAAGCGCACGUAGGCGGCUUCUUAAGUCAGGGGUGAAAUCCUGGAGCUCAACUCCAGAACUGCCUUUGAUACUGAGAAGCUUGAGUCCGGGAGAGGUGAGUGGAACUGCGAGUGUAGAGGUGAAAUUCGUAGAUAUUCGCAAGAACACCAGUGGCGAAGGCGGCUGACUGGACACAUAUUGACGCUGAGGCUCGAAAGCAUGGGGAGCAAACAGG
RNAcentral lists this ribosomal RNA (253 nucleotides) under uncultured bacterium. RNAcentral describes it as "partial 16S ribosomal RNA". It matches the Rfam family "Bacterial small subunit ribosomal RNA", at positions 524 to 776 of the family's 1533-position model. The record is from RNAcentral.